This 253-nucleotide ribosomal RNA is filed under the name uncultured bacterium. RNAcentral's name for it is "partial 16S ribosomal RNA". It matches the Rfam family "Bacterial small subunit ribosomal RNA", at positions 524 to 776 of the family's 1533-position model. The record is from RNAcentral.
UACGGAGGGUGCAAGCGUUAUCCGGAUUUACUGGGUUUAAAGGGUGCGUAGGUGGGUUGGUAAGUCAGUGGUGAAAUACUUUCGCUUAACGAAGGAACUGCCAUUGGUACUAUCAGUCUUGAAUACAGUGGAGGUAGGCGGAAUGCGUCAUGUAGCGGUGAAAUGCUUAGAUAUGACGCAGAACACCAAUUGCGAAGGCAGCUUGCUACACUGUUAUUGACACUGAGGCACGAAAGCGUGGGGAUCAAACAGG